RNAcentral lists this ribosomal RNA (405 nucleotides) under uncultured bacterium. Its description in RNAcentral is "partial 16S ribosomal RNA". It matches the Rfam family "Bacterial small subunit ribosomal RNA", at positions 28 to 526 of the family's 1533-position model. The record is from RNAcentral.
GACGAACGCUGGCGGCGUGCUUAACACAUGCAAGUCGAGCGGAGCGGCGAACGGGUGAGUAACGAGGGAGUAACUGCCCCCCUCUCUGGGAGAACAGUUGGAAACGGCUGCUAAUACCGGAUAGUGGGGGAUGACGCGCGUCCUAUCAGCUUGUUGGUGGGGUAGUGGCACACCAAGGCGACGACGGGUAGCCGGCCUGAGAGGGCGACCGGCCACAUUGGGCUGAGAUACGGCCCAAUCUCCUACGGGAGGCAGCAGUGGGGAAUAUUGAACAAUGGGGGAAACCCUGAUGCAGCAACGCCGCGUGCGGGAUGACGGCCUUCGGGUUGUAAACCGCUUUCAGCCAUGACGCGGUAGUGGCAGAAGAAGCACCGGCUAACUACGUGCCAGCCGCCGCGGUAAUAC